CCUAACACAUGCAAGUCGAACGGUAACAGGAAGAAGCUUCGCUUCUUUCGCUGACGAGUGGCGGACGGGUGAGUAAUGUCUGGGAAACUGCCUGAUGGAGGGGGAUAACUACUGGAAACGGUAGCUAAUACCGCAUAACGUCGCAAGACCAAAGAGGGGGACCUUCGGGCCUCUUGCCAUCGGAUGUGCCCAGAUGGGAUUAGCUAGUAGGUGGGGUAACGGCUCACCUAGGCGACGAUCCCUAGCUGGUCUGAGAGGAUGACCAGCCACACUGGAACUGAGACACGGUCCAGACUCCUACGGGAGGCAGCAGUGGGGAAUAUUGCACAAUGGGCGCAAGCCUGAUGCAGCCAUGCCGCGUGUA
Molecule: ribosomal RNA, 364 nt
Filed under: uncultured bacterium
Lineage: Bacteria
Description: bacterial SSU rRNA
Rfam family: Bacterial small subunit ribosomal RNA
Source: RNAcentral